RNAcentral lists this ribosomal RNA (497 nucleotides) under uncultured bacterium. RNAcentral's name for it is "partial 16S ribosomal RNA". It matches the Rfam family "Bacterial small subunit ribosomal RNA", at positions 28 to 507 of the family's 1533-position model. The record is from RNAcentral.
GAUGAACGCUGGCGGCGUGCCUAAUACAUGCAAGUCGAGCGAACAGACGAGGAGCUUGCUCCUUUGACGUUAGCGGCGGACGGGUGAGUAACACGUAGAUAACCUACCUAUAAGACUGGGAUAACUUCGGGAAACCGGAGCUAAUACCGGAUAAUAUUUUGAACCGCAUGGUUCGAUAGUGAAAGACGGCUUUGCUGUCACUUAUAGAUGGAUCUGCGCCGUAUUAGCUAGUUGGUAAGGUAACGGCUUACCAAGGCAACGAUACGUAGCCGACCUGAGAGGGUGAUCGGCCACACUGGAACUGAGACACGGUCCAGACUCCUACGGGAGGCAGCAGUAGGGAAUCUUCCGCAAUGGGCGAAAGCCUGACGGAGCAACGCCGCGUGAGUGAUGAAGGUCUUCGGAUCGUAAAACUCUGUUAUUAGGGAAGAACAAACGUGUAAGUAACUGUGCACGUCUUGACGGUACCUAAUCAGAAAGCCACGGCUAACUACGUG